RNAcentral lists this long non-coding RNA (997 nucleotides) under Equus asinus (donkey). Its description in RNAcentral is "lncRNA (ENSEASG00005029676.1)". Lineage: Eukaryota; Metazoa; Chordata; Mammalia; Perissodactyla; Equidae. The record is from RNAcentral.
AGGACCACGGAAUAAUGAGACACACUGCCCUAGAGCAAGGGGCCAGGGCACUGAUGCGAAGUGGCUCAGCUGGAAAGGGUAAAUGGUGAUGACAGCAAGACUGCAUAAAGCAGAAGAUGAGGGGGAAAACCGGCUCAGCCGUGACUUGGGGCAUCCACAGAUCGAACUAUUGAGGAAUCUAGACAGAGGGCAGCACUCAGGAGCCCGGCUGUGGGAGUUGAUCCCAGGAGAGCUCGUGAACUGGAACGAGUCCAAGCCUGCAGCUGGACCCACGACUACAUCAGAUGCUGAGAGCAGAGGAGAAAGCAAAGGAGCUAGAAGAGCUGGGCAGAGGAAACUUCUGCCAAGAAAAGGUGCAGGGGGAAGUCAGUACAAUUCAACCAGAGAGGCACAGAGGGGGAAGAUGAGCAACACUCUUGUGAAUAUUUUCUUCAUCAUCAACCUUUUCUUAUUAAAAUAUUUUCCUCAUUAGUAUUUUUUAUUAAGAUGUUCUUCAAAAAUCUUUAUGUAUACAUUCUUCAAAUCACUCCAUAAGUAAUUUUUUCAUAAAAUAUCCUUUAUGGAAACAUUCUUCAUGAACAUGAAUAUAUCCAAUGACCGUAUCCAUUAAUAUAUUCUUGAUUAUGACUAUUUUAAUAUAUUCAUAAGAAUAUAUUAAAAUAGUGAAUAUAACAUUGUUUCUAUUUUUAAAGAACCUAUUUUUGAAGAUAGACAUUAAAUAUGCUCCUAUUUGUGAUCAUUUAUUCAAGCAAAUAUUUGAGCUCCCGUGAUGUGCUGGGCACUGUUCUAGAUCCUGUCUGUAAAGAGAGACAAGACAGGCAUGGUCCUUGCUCCCAUGCAGCUUACAUUCUGUGUCAGCAAUAUGUUCUCAAUAAAGGGGAAAAUGUUAUGUAUAUUUUUAUAACUAAGAAAUAUGAGGGAAGAAUAUAAUUUAAUGCCCUCAUUUUCCCCAUCUCUGCUGGUCAAUGCUCCCUGUCUUUCCUUCAGCAAAAAAUAC